GACGAACGCUGGCGGUUUGCUUAACACAUGCAAGUCGAACGGAAAGGCCCUGCUUUUGUGGGGUGCUCGAGUGGCGAACGGGUGAGUAACACGUGAGUAACCUGCCCUUGACUUUGGGAUAACUUCAGGAAACUGGGGCUAAUACCGGAUAGGAGCUCCUGCUGCAUGGUGGGGGUUGGAAAGUUUCGGCGGUUGGGGAUGGACUCGCGGCUUAUCAGCUUGUUGGUGGGGUAGUGGCUUACCAAGGCUUUGACGGGUAGCCGGCCUGAGAGGGUGACCGGCCACAUUGGGACUGAGAUACGGCCCAGACUCCUACGGGAGGCAGCAGUGGGGAAUAUUGCACAAUGGGCGGAAGCCUGAUGCAGCAACGCCGCGUGCGGGAUGACGGCCUUCGGGUUGUAAACCGCUUUCGCCUGUGACGAAGCGUGAGUGACGGUAAUGGGUAAAGAAGCACCGGCUAACUACGUGCCAGCAGCCGCGGUGAUACGUAGGGUGCGAGCGUUGUCCGGAUUUAUUGGGCGUAAAGGGCUCGUAGGUGGUUGAUCGCGUCGGAAGUGUAAUCUUGGGGCUUAACCCUGAGCGUGCUUUCGAUACGGGUUGACUUGAGGAAGGUAGGGGAGAAUGGAAUUCCUGGUGGAGCGGUGGAAUGCGCAGAUAUCAGGAGGAACACCAGUGGCGAAGGCGGUUCUCUGGGCCUUUCCUGACGCUGAGGAGCGAAAGCGUGGGGAGCGAACAGGCUUAGAUACCCUGGUAGUCCACGCUGUAAACGGUGGGUACUAGGUGUGGGGUCCAUUCCACGGGUUCCGUGCCGUAGCUAACGCUUUAAGUACCCCGCCUGGGGAGUACGGCCGCAAGGCUAAAACUCAAAGGAAUUGACGGGGCCCCGCACAAGCGGCGGAGCAUGCGGGUUAAUUCGAUGCAACGCGUAGAACCUUACCUGGGUUUGACAUGGAUCGGGAGCGCUCAGAGAUGGGUGUGCCUCUUUUGGGGUCGGUUCACAGGUGGUGCAUGGCUGUCGUCAGCUCGUGUCGUGAGAUGUUGGGUUAAGUCCCGCAACGAGCGCAACCCUUGUUCACUGUUGCCAGCACGUUAUGGUGGGGACUCAGUGGAGACCGCCGGGGUCAACUCGGAGGAAGGUGGGGAUGACGUCAAGUCAUCAUGCCCCUUAUGUCCAGGGCUUCACGCAUGCUACAAUGGCUGGUACAGAGAGUGGCGAGCCUGUGAGGGUGAGCGAAUCUCGGAAAGCCGGUCUCAGUUCGGAUUGGGGUCUGCAACUCGACCUCAUGAAGUCGGAGUCGCUAGUAAUCGCAGAUCAGCAACGCUGCGGUGAAUACGUUCCCGGGGCU
RNAcentral lists this ribosomal RNA (1346 nucleotides) under uncultured bacterium. RNAcentral's name for it is "bacterial SSU rRNA". It matches the Rfam family "Bacterial small subunit ribosomal RNA", at positions 28 to 1381 of the family's 1533-position model. The record is from RNAcentral.